This 1068-nucleotide ribosomal RNA is filed under the name Escherichia coli. RNAcentral's name for it is "partial 23S ribosomal RNA". It matches the Rfam family "Bacterial large subunit ribosomal RNA", at positions 144 to 1251 of the family's 2925-position model. The record is from RNAcentral. Lineage: Bacteria; Pseudomonadati; Pseudomonadota; Gammaproteobacteria; Enterobacterales; Enterobacteriaceae.
CACACUAUCAUUAACUGAAUCCAUAGGUUAAUGAGGCGAACCGGGGGAACUGAAACAUCUAAGUACCCCGAGGAAAAGAAAUCAACCGAGAUUCCCCCAGUAGCGGCGAGCGAACGGGGAGGAGCCCAGAGCCUGAAUCAGUGUGUGUGUUAGUGGAAGCGUCUGGAAAGGCGCGCGAUACAGGGUGACAGCCCCGUACACAAAAAUGCACAUACUGUGAGCUCGAUGAGUAGGGCGGGACACGUGGUAUCCUGUCUGAAUAUGGGGGGACCAUCCUCCAAGGCUAAAUACUCCUGACUGACCGAUAGUGAACCAGUACCGUGAGGGAAAGGCGAAAAGAACCCCGGCGAGGGGAGUGAAAAAGAACCUGAAACCGUGUACGUACAAGCAGUGGGAGCCUCUUUUAUGGGGUGACUGCGUACCUUUUGUAUAAUGGGUCAGCGACUUAUAUUCUGUAGCAAGGUUAACCGAAUAGGGGAGCCGAAGGGAAACCGAGUCUUAACUGGGCGUUAAGUUGCAGGGUAUAGACCCGAAACCCGGUGAUCUAGCCAUGGGCAGGUUGAAGGUUGGGUAACACUAACUGGAGGACCGAACCGACUAAUGUUGAAAAAUUAGCGGAUGACUUGUGGCUGGGGGUGAAAGGCCAAUCAAACCGGGAGAUAGCUGGUUCUCCCCGAAAGCUAUUUAGGUAGCGCCUCGUGAAUUCAUCUCCGGGGGUAGAGCACUGUUUCGGCAAGGGGGUCAUCCCGACUUACCAACCCGAUGCAAACUGCGAAUACCGGAGAAUGUUAUCACGGGAGACACACGGCGGGUGCUAACGUCCGUCGUGAAGAGGGAAACAACCCAGACCGCCAGCUAAGGUCCCAAAGUCAUGGUUAAGUGGGAAACGAUGUGGGAAGGCCCAGACAGCCAGGAUGUUGGCUUAGAAGCAGCCAUCAUUUAAAGAAAGCGUAAUAGCUCACUGGUCGAGUCGGCCUGCGCGGAAGAUGUAACGGGGCUAAACCAUGCACCGAAGCUGCGGCAGCGACGCUUAUGCGUUGUUGGGUAGGGGAGCGUUCUGUAAGCCUG